RNAcentral lists this ribosomal RNA (497 nucleotides) under uncultured bacterium. RNAcentral's name for it is "partial 16S ribosomal RNA". It matches the Rfam family "Bacterial small subunit ribosomal RNA", at positions 28 to 507 of the family's 1533-position model. The record is from RNAcentral.
GAUGAACGCUGGCGGCGUGCCUAAUACAUGCAAGUCGAGCGAACAGACGAGGAGCUUGCUCCUUUGACGUUAGCGGCGGACGGGUGAGUAACACGUGGGUAACCUACCUAUAAGACUGGGAUAACUUCGGGAAACCGGAGCUAAUACCGGAUAAUAUUUCGACCCGCAUGGUUCGAUAGUGCAAGAUGGCUUUGCUAUCCCUUAUAGCUGGACCUGCGCCGUAUUAGCUAGUUGGUAAGGUACCGGCUUACCAAGGCAACGAUACGUAGCCGACCUGAGAGGGUGAUCGGCCACACUGGAACUGAGACACGGUCCAGACUCCUACGGGAGGCAGCAGUAGGGAAUCUUCCGCAAUGGGCGAAAGCCUGACGGAGCAACGCCGCGUGAGUGAUGAAGGUCUUCGGAUCGUAAAACUCUGUUAUUAGGGAAGAACAAACGUGUAAGUAACUGUGCACGUCUUGACGGUACCUAAUCAGAAAGCCACGGCUAACUACGUG